Molecule: ribosomal RNA, 497 nt
Filed under: uncultured bacterium
Lineage: Bacteria
Description: partial 16S ribosomal RNA
Rfam family: Bacterial small subunit ribosomal RNA
Source: RNAcentral
GAUGAACGCUGGCGGCGUGCCUAAUACAUGCAAGUCGAGCGAACGGACGCGUAGCUUGCUUCUCUGAUGUUAGCGGCGGACGGGGGAGGAACACGUGGAUAACCUCCCUAUACGACUUGGUUAACUUCGGGAAACCGGAGCUGCUACUGGGUAAUAUUUUGAACCGCAUGGUUCAAGAGUGUGAGACGGUCUUGCUGUCACUUAUAGAUGGAUCCGCGCUGCAUUAGCUAGUUGGUAAGGUAACGGCUUACCAAGGCAACGAUGCAUAGCCGACCUGAGAGGGUGAUCGGCCACACUGGAAGUGAGACACGGCCCAGACGACUACGAGAGGCAGCAGUAGGGAAUCUUCCGCAAUGGGCGAAAGCCUGACGGAGCAACGCCGCGUGGGUGAUGAAGGUGUUCGGAGCGUAAAACUCUGUUUUCAGGGAAGAACAAAGGUUGAAGUGUCUGUGCACAUCUUGACGGUACCUGAUCAAGAAGCGACGGCUAACUACGUG